This 497-nucleotide ribosomal RNA is filed under the name uncultured bacterium. RNAcentral's name for it is "partial 16S ribosomal RNA". It matches the Rfam family "Bacterial small subunit ribosomal RNA", at positions 28 to 507 of the family's 1533-position model. The record is from RNAcentral.
GAUGAACGCUGGCGGCGUGCCUAAUACAUGCAAGUCGAGCGAACAGACGAGGAGCUUGCUCCUCUGACGUUAGCGGCGGACGGGUGAGUAACACGUGGAUGACCUACCUAUAAGACUGGGAUAACUUCGGGAAACCGGAGCUAAUACCGGAUAAUAUAUUGAACCGCAUGGUUCAAUAGUGAAAGACGGUUUUGCUGUCACUUAUAGAUGGAUUCGCGCCGCAUUAGCUAGUUGGUAAGGUAACGGCUUACCAAGGCAACGAUGCGUAGCCGACCUGAGAGGGGGAUCGGCCACACUGGAGCGGAGACGCGGUCAAGACUACUACGGGAGGAAGCAGUAGGGAAUCUUCGGCAAUGGGCGAAAGCCUGACGGAGCAACGCCGCGUGAGUGAUGAAGGUCUUCGGAUCGUAAAACUCUGUUAUUAGGGAAGAACAAAUGUGUAAGUAACUAUGCACGUCUUGACGGUACCUAAUCAGAAAGCCACGGCUAACUACGUG